Molecule: long non-coding RNA, 223 nt
Filed under: Pelobates cultripes (western spadefoot toad)
Lineage: Eukaryota; Metazoa; Chordata; Amphibia; Anura; Pelobatidae
Source: RNAcentral
UGUGACCGUAUCUCCUAAACACUGCUGACACUGUGACCGUAUUUCCUAAACACUGCUGACACUGUGACCGUAUUUCCUAAACACUGCUGACACUGUGACCGUAUUUCCUAAACACUGCUGACACUGUGACCGUAUUUCCUAAACACUGCUGACACUGUGACCGUAUCUCCUAAACACUGCUGACACUGUGACCGUAUCUCCUAAACACUGCUGACACUGUGAC